This 85-nucleotide transfer RNA is filed under the name Brevundimonas goettingensis. RNAcentral's name for it is "Brevundimonas sp. LVF2 tRNA-Leu". It matches the Rfam family "tRNA". Rfam says of the family: Transfer RNA (tRNA) molecules are approximately 80 nucleotides in length. Their secondary structure includes four short double-helical elements and three loops (D, anti-codon, and T loops). Further hydrogen bonds mediate the characteristic L-shaped molecular structure. tRNAs have two regions of fundamental functional importance: the anti-codon, which is responsible for specific mRNA codon recognition, and the 3' end, to which the tRNAs corresponding amino acid is attached (by aminoacyl-tRNA synthetases). tRNAs cope with the degeneracy of the genetic code in two manners: having more than one tRNA (with a specific anti-codon) for a particular amino acid; and 'wobble' base-pairing, i.e. permitting non-standard base-pairing at the 3rd anti-codon position. RNAcentral also lists the same sequence under 1 other name. The record is from RNAcentral. Lineage: Bacteria; Pseudomonadati; Pseudomonadota; Alphaproteobacteria; Caulobacterales; Caulobacteraceae.
GCCCCGAUGGUGGAACUGGUAGACGCGCCGGAUUCAAAAUCCGGUUCCGAGAGGAGUGCCGGUUCGACCCCGGCUCGGGGCACCA